RNAcentral lists this ribosomal RNA (119 nucleotides) under Lepisosteus oculatus (spotted gar). Lineage: Eukaryota; Metazoa; Chordata; Actinopteri; Semionotiformes; Lepisosteidae. The record is from RNAcentral.
GCCAGCAGCCAGAUCACUCUACAACUCACAACUGGCAGCCCACUGAAGCUCAGUAGGUGUGAGCCUGGUCAGUACCUGGAUGGGAGACCUCCUGGGAAAAACUAAGGCUGCUGCUGGAA